AUAAGAAUCCGCACUAUCCCUUGAAUAUUUGUUUUGUCAAGGAAUGGUUCUUGACUGGGGAAACUUAUAUGUCAAGGGGACAGUGGGAGCCUUAAAGAUCCUGAAAGAGUUUCAAGAUUUAAUCAAGAGUAAAACCUGUAAUUUAUCACUAGCACACGACUUAAGGUUUGCAACCUAUCGUGUUGACAUAAUUCUUAUUUCUGUACCUACUUCAAAUAAGUUGAAUUUGCAUGUGAGUUAUCAGAGUUCAACUUGGAAGCAUUGGUGGGCCUUGUGCUACCAAGGUGACAAGAAACUAAGAUUGAACAAGUUUAAUCCAUGUAAGGCUGAAUUUGUCACUAACCUUAUCUUGUGAUUAUGGUUUUGACAAAUUCACAUGGAUAGGAACUCAUACACUAUAAAAUCUAAGUGUCAUAAGGUUUCUCUCCGAUUCAUGAAAAUGAUGGUGAGGAAACGCUUUCACUAAGUAGAUUUUACGUAGAUAUCAAUUGUGUUAUUUGCAUUUUCAAAAGUCGUUAGUGGAGCGCGUGUGGUUAACCGGCACACUAACAUGGACUUGUGAGAAAUGGCAAAUGCCUAAGCAAUUGAGACUAUGAUUACGGCAUCCCUUUUCAUAGUUCUGAAAAUUGUUUAGACACACAUGUGAGCUAUCUAAGAAAGGGUGUAUGAAUCUAAAUUUCAGAAGUCCAGCAGAUUUCUGGAAAUAUGUCAGAGCUAGUGGGAGCAUAAGUGUUAUGCUGAUAAUCAUCAUGUUAGUGGGAGCAUGAUUAUUACGUUUAGUGUUGCAAGUUAGCAAUGUUAAUUAUAGAAAACAAAGUUUCAAUUCGUGAAGUUGCAGGGGUUGAAAAGUUGUUUUGCUAUAAUUAAGGGAGAGGAAAUUAUACUUCAUUUCAAUUCUAAAGCUUAGAUUGAGAUUUUAAUCAUCUUUAGUCAAGAAUAUAUAUAUGAAUUUUAUGUUGGAAUGGUUCAACUUGAAGAAAUUCUAUAUAUAUUGCGUUUUCAAAAUUCGAUUAUGAUUACGGCAUCCCUCUUCAUAGUUAAAUUUUGAAAACAUGGCAAAUAAAAAAUAUUGUAGCAAAAGACUGGUCUAGUAUCAUGUCUUUAUGUCAAACAUCAUGAAUCGUGUCCCAUAUGCUUCGGAUAUAGGAUCGAUUGCAUGUGCUAUAAUAUUCAUCUUUUCUAAAUUUUCCAAAUGCUUAAGGCAUUGAGAAGGGAAAAGUCUAGAACUGGAUAUGACUAAAGUGAUUAAGCAAUUGUCGAGGACAAUCUGAGGUUCGCCAAAGAUUGGUUGCUCAGGGAAAGUUGGAAGUAUGAUGUAAGUUGUCGGAAAGGACCAUAUUGACAUAUUCUGAAAAGAAGUAACUCUUGUUCGGAAGUGAUAGUCAAAAUGGGACUAUGGAAAUGUCUCCAUAGGUGGAAGUUAUUCAAUCUAUGUAAGAUUAGAAAACCUUAAUGCAAGAAGGAUGUUCAAAGCAAUGUACUUUGAAUAUGAGACUUCCGUUCCAUAGAAGUUGACCUUCUUUGGAAUACUCUGUAAUGACUGGUGACAAGGUUUUGGUGACUUUGUGCAUAAUCAUUACAAGAGGAACAUUGCAUAAAAGUUUAAAAUCUAACAGAUUUUUUGGUAAAUGAUAGGAAUCGGGGAUUCUCACAUUUACAAUAAGGAUUUGGGAUUGUGAAAUGAGUAUCAUUGGAAUCAUGUUCAAUUGAUCUACAUCACAAUGUAAGGAUCAUAGACAAACAUAGUGUGCAUACUUGGAGUAUGGCAUAACUAUUGUUUAGAAAAACAAAGUGUACAUGCUAGGAGCAUGGGACGACUGUUGUUUUUAUUCAAGUCUUAAGUUGAUUGUUUGAAACAUUAUACAAUGAAUAAUGUGUAAUCAAUAUGGUGAUAAAUAAAAGGUGGUUCUAUUUAUAUUCAAAAGGGUUCUGAGACCAUAUUGGAUUCGAUUAUUAUUGUGUUUCACUUUGCAUGUUUUGACUUCCAAAAUAGCUAGGUUAUUCUUUCCGAAUGACUAAGUUAUUUAAACACUCCACAGUCGUUCAUAUGUUGGAAGUAGGUAUGAAUCAAGACUGUCAUGAAUCGAGUUUGUAGAUGGCUAAAUGGGUUUAGUCAUAGCAAUGGUUGCUACAACAUUCAUGAGUGCUCAUAAGUUAUGAGUAUUGGAAUAAACCCACGCUCACUUGUAUCACUUCAUGGAAUUUAUCUCGAGUGAUCGUGAGACGGUAAUAUCAUAUAAAUCUUCAAACCUAGAGAUAUGAGUUGUUACCUAUGAGUUGGUUGUGCAUUGAUUGCACGUAAACGCAUCAGUAACUUGAUGUUAUAAAACGUGCCUUUGUGUACAAUUCAACAAGUAGUAGAACAAGCAUAUGAGUCGAAGUUUAUCUGUUCCUUCUAGAAAUAGAAGCGAUAUCUGGGCCCCUCGAUGAUUUUGUUGUGACCUAUGUACCGGCCGGUCAGAACUAAAUUGAUGUGUUCGAUUAAGUUCUUUGUCAAACAAAUCGAAAAUCGGGAAACAAACUGCUGGACAAUAAGUACGACGUUGUUCCAUGUAUUUGUCCGGCUGAUAUCAUGAGAACAGAGGAUUAUAUGAUCACUUAUCUAAAAUGGCGCUUCAUAGUUCAACAGAGUUUUCGAGAGCUACGAUUGCUGGUUGGUUCCUGAAGUAACAUACGCAAAUAUAGUUAUUAGACUUAUCCAAGUGGGAGUCUGUUGGAUAAGGUGUCUAAGUCCAUAACUUAUUUGGUAUAUACUUGACCCGACCCGGCAUGGUCCAUUUGGGUUGCAUCUCACCCGAACUAUUUAUGGAUAAUUUUAUGAGAGUUAUACACAUAUGUUUAUUAAUAUAUUAUAAGUUAUAAUAUAUUAAUAUGAAGUUAUGUUAUUUAAUUAGUCUUAGUCUUAAAUUAAUUAUGAAUUAAUUUAGAGAUUAAAAGGAAGACUAAUUAGAUUAUGGGCUAUUGGUUUUAUAUGGUGUGGGCUAACACUCAUUUGUUAAUGGGCUAGGCUUAUAUGGAAGUCCAUGGAUGAUCCAUGGAGCUUUUAACCCAUGGAUCCUUGGAAAAGGAAAGGUCAUGGGUUAUUAGGGUUUCACCCUAACCAUGCACACUAUAUAAGCAUGCUUAUGGAGCAUGAAAUGGCAACUAGUGAACUAGUGUGUGUGUGCUUGUGUGUGGCCAAAAAUACAAGUGUGUAUACUCUCUCAAAGUUUUCCAAGAGUUUGUGGUGUUUUGUGAUUCCAUUUGAGGCAUUCACACUAUUGGUGCUUGGCCCUCAAACUCCUUAAGAACCAAACUCAUCAAAAAGGUAUGUAAUCUCUUCUAACUCUUUUAUGUUGAAAUGUUCCCCAUGCCAUGUUAGAUAGGUUAUGAACCUUGGAAAAUUAUUAUUUUGCAUGUAUUUAGACAAACAUAGAUCCAAGGUUUAUUAGGGUUGCAUGCACACUUAGGAAGUGUUAGAUUGCUCAAAACCCAACAGUGGUAUCAGAGCCUAGGCUUGCUUGUUUGAUACUUGAUGCAAAAUAGUGAAAAAAGUUGAAAUUGUUGCUGUCUGGCUGAUGGACUCGCCGAGUCCAUGGGGGGACUCGCCGAGUUCAAGGCAAAAUUCAUCCUACUCGGCGAGUAGGUUCGUGCACUCGGCGAGUAGAAUGAUCAGAAUGCAGAAUUUCGACUUUUGCUGCUGGAAAUGGACUAGAAACAUUACCCUAAACUGUUUUGGUGUUUUAAAACUUGUUUUAGUUGGUGUAAUGGUUGUUCUAAUCCAUUUACAAUAGCAUAUAUCAAAAUUCCAUGAUUUUUAUGUGUUCAUAUAAUUCUUGAAAUUUUGAUGAUCAUGUUCAUGUUCUUAUGAAUUUAGAAGAUGAUAGGAAUUAUUUGCUGAAUUGUUUAGAAUUAAUUCUUGAUCAUUUAUGUGUUUUAAUGGAGUCCAUAAUUUGUCCUCAAGUUAUGGAUAUCCAAAGGUCACUUUUCUUUAACACACACAUUUAAACACAUAAGUUACAUGAAAAUGAAGAGUCUUCAUUUUUAUGAACCUUUAAUUCAUAAGUUAUGAAAUGAAAAGUUUUGGAUAGUUACAAAACUUGCCCUCAAGUUUUGGAAUUUGAAAAGUUUCACACACUUUAAUAAACUUUAAUUCCAACACUUAGAGUUUUAAAAGUUAAAAUUCAACACUUAUACUAUUUAUAACAUUAAUGGUUAAUUAUUAUAUAUAUGUAUAAGAACAAGUCGUUUUACCGUUAGUAGGCCUCAUUCACGAAGCCGGUCUAUAAGGUGGGUAUAAGGUUGUUGCCUAUAAAAUGGCGACUUAAUGGGUGUCCACUCUCACCCACCGCUUGCUUGAUCGGUGGAGGGUCGUUAGCCGAACGGGUAGGACAAUGACUUUAAAUUCUCAUUAAAAGUAUAAUGAUUAUUAUAAAGUAACUAAAAAUUUUUUAUUUAAUUCCCAAUCUUAGUUACUUUAGGAAAAAUGUGAAUUUGGUGCUAGCCCAUGGAAUUCACACUUUGUACCUUACCAAGUCGUUGGUGGAGCGUGUGUGGUUAACCGGCACACUAACUUGGACUAGUAAGGAUCACGAAGGGUGACUUAAUGUUUGUCAUAGAUCAAUGGAGCGUGUGUGGUUAACCGGCACAUUGAUUAGGUGAUAAUAUUAAGGGUACCAAGUGAAUUGGUAUGGUUAUUCACACCUUGUUUUGUGAUCCUCGGCAUCCCAGUCACAAAAUUUGAGAGGGCACACUCGAGAUUGAAACAUGCCAUUGAAAAGUUCAAUGAAUCUCAAAAGAUCUAGGAAUUUCAAAUCCAAUUAAAACCUAAUAAAUUAUUUCGUUUUUCAUGGUGGAAAUUGGUGAAUCGUCAUUCGCCUACCUUCAAAUAUUUUAUAGCUUGGAUUACGGCAUCCCUCUUCCAAAUUAUAAAAUAUUGUGUUGGGUCCUAGCCUUAAUAUUUCAUAUUGGGUGUUAUAUUAAGGACUUUGAAUCAACUAACUUGAUUUUCUCCCAUUAUAGAUGUCUGGUUCAGACAACUAUGAUCUUCCCAAAUCUCUUGAAGAUGGUGUCCCUCAACAUCAUGCUUCACUUCCUCCACCUCCUCCAAUUAUUCUCCCUCACCCACAAGUUCUUGAAAAGUUUAAAGUCACUCAAUCCCUAUUGGCAAGCAUAGUCUAUGUGUGCUCACAUCUUGGAGAUAAAGUCACAUAUUGACAAGCCGGGAGAGUUGGGUGUCAAAGUCUCGUGAAAGUUGGAUGUUCAAUCACUUUCUUAGUAACAUAGUGAGUCUCUUUGGGACUACUAUGAGACAGACUAUGACAUGACCCUUAAUGAUGUUAUCUAUUUGCUUGGUGUUGUGGAAUCAGCAAUGAUUUGGAACACCAGUAAAGCAAAUUUGAUUAAAAGAACAACUUCCCAAGUCUUAAAUGGACAUUGACAAUGGUAGCAUUGGAUAUCUAGAAAAGGAUUUCUCUUCCCAAUGGAAAGGGAUCGGCCAUAGUCAACUCGGUUGACCAAAUGGUAAAGAGAAAGGCUAAGUCUGAGAUAGUCUCAUGUGCCAUUACCAAAGGGUCCAUGUGUUUUGUUGCCAAAGGAAGGGGCAUUGGUUGCGAAGCUGCCCUAUUCACCUGAAAGGUCAUAAGGUUGAUCAAGUCAAGAGGUUUGACUCUACUUCGGGUAAAGUCCACUGUCUAACUCUAUUAAGUUCCUAUUUGGAGAUUCUUAUUACAUAAUGUGAAUGGGUCACAUGCUGAUGUUUUUAAGAAUCAAAGAAAAGAUAGGAAGCUUAAAGUAAGUAUAUGUUGAUUCUGAUUGCGAAGGUGGGUUUCGAUCGCAUGGUUCGGUAAUCAGAAUUUUGAGCUGUUGCUUAAGAGUUAUAAUAUAUUGCUUAUGAAUAGAUAACAACAAGGUUUUCAUGUGGAUUGUAAGGAUAAGUUUUUCCGCAAAGUUUUAAAAAAAAAAAAAAAAAGGGUUUUAAUUUUAUUUAUUUUAAAAAUAUCCUUACAAUGGCAUCUGUGGAAAAUUGUUGCUUAUAUGUUUCCAGUAAUAGCAAUAUUGGAAAGUGGAUUUGAUUCUUUCAUUUGUGGUAGUGUCUGAAUUUACCAAAUGAAGAAAGUUUUUCAUCACCCAAGUUUCAAUUGGACAGAAACUUGGAAUCAUACAAGUUGUAUUGUAUGAUGAAUGAGAAUUUUCAUCUUUGAAAAUUAAGACUAAUUCUUUGAUCACAUGUAUAUGUGAGUCAAUUGAAGGACUAAGGAAUUAGGUACACUGGGUGUGCGCUGGUCAAGGUCCACCACAAAGAUUGAUUUGUCAUGAUUUACUAAAGAUUAGUAAAUAUGAUUAUACUUAUGAGGUUAAGUAUAAUUCUGUAACAUUGGAAAGGUUACAAUGUAUGACAAAACAAAUGAGAAGAAUCAAAUUAGGCAGAAAGAUAAAAGUUUCUCAAAUCUGAAAGGAUGGGAGAGUACUUUAGUAUCGUAUUUCAUGAUCAUCUUAAUGAUUAUGAAACCAUAUCACAAAUUCAUACUCUAAGGACGUCUUAGUGCAUUGUUAUGGCUAAGAAGAGAGGUCAUGAAUUGUUGGAUUGGUUAAAAUCAAGAAGAUGAGUCAUACUUCGUUCCAAAACAAUUCUUAGAGUCAUACUCCAAGAUUGUAACUUUGAGUGACAUAAAGGAAGAUUUAUUAACACUAGUCAAAUGUAAGAGUAAAAUGUUUUCUACUCUUGUACAUUUGAGAUUGGUAAGUUGUGAUGUCUUGGAUGAGACAAAGACCAACUAAGACCAAUUGUGUGAAGUGUUAGUCUUGAUAAGAAUCCGCACUAUCCCUUGAAUAUUUGUUUUGUCAAGGAAUGGUUCUUGACUGGGGAAACUUAUAUGUCAAGGGGACAGUGGGAGCCUUAAAGAUCCUGAAAGAGUUUCAAGAUUUAAUCAAGAGUAAAACCUGUAAUUUAUCACUAGCACACGACUUAAGGUUUGCAACCUAUCGUGUUGACAUAAUUCUUAUUUCUGUACCUACUUCAAAUAAGUUGAAUUUGCAUGUGAGUUAUCAGAGUUCAACUUGGAAGCAUUGGUGGGCCUUGUGCUACCAAGGUGACAAGAAACUAAAAUUGAACAAGUUUAAACCAUGUAAGGCUGAAUUUGUCACUAAUCUUAUCUGGUGAUUAUGGUUUUGACAAAUUUAGAUGGAUAGGAACUCAUACACUAUAAAAUCUAAGUGUCAUAAGGUUUUUCUCCGAUUCAUGAAAAUGAUGGUGAGGAAACGCUUUCACUAAGUAGAUUUUACGUAGAUAUCAAUUGUGUUAUUUGCAUUUUCAAAAGUCGUUAGUGGAGCGCGUGUGGUUAACCGGCACACUAACAUGGACUUGUGAGAAAUGGAAAAUGACUAAGCAAUUGAGACUAUGAUUACGGCAUCCCUUUUCAUAUUCCCCAAAAUUGUUUAGACACACAUGUGAGCAAUCUAAGAAAG
This 7446-nucleotide long non-coding RNA is filed under the name Lactuca sativa (garden lettuce). Its description in RNAcentral is "long non-coding RNA (LSAT_LNC005488)". The record is from RNAcentral. Lineage: Eukaryota; Viridiplantae; Streptophyta; Magnoliopsida; Asterales; Asteraceae.